GGCCGUUGCGGCUACAGGCGCCGGCCUUGAAAACCAACCGAGUAUGCUCGGGCCCCGCCCGGUGAGGCCGCACAGCUCAGAGCUCAGCCCGGGUUUGCAGAAACAAAGGAUCCUCCCACGGAAGGGAACUGUCGUGAACUCAGAAGUUAGUUUUCGUCCCUGGACCUUUUUAGAAUCGGGCUCCAGCCCAUCACCCUCUCGUUUUGUCCUCAGGAACGGCGGCAGCAGUCUCUUCCCAAUGUUGAGAGCAAAAAGUGUGAACCCAGAAAUUCCGAGAUAGAUCUCAGUUUCUUGCCAAGGUUGACGACACGCGCGUGACAGCCUCAGGAAGUCCUCACGACAUGUGCCCAAGGUGGUCGGGACACAGCUUAGUUUUAUACAUUUUAUGGAGACAUGAGACAUCAAUCAGUGUAUGUAAGUACAUUGGUUCUGUCUGGAAAGGCGGGACAACUUGAAGCAAAGGCAGGAAGACUCGAAGCAGGGAGGGGCUUCCAGGAAACUGAAGUGCCCACCCCUCAGCAUGGUGCCUAUCACCCACAGUCUGGAAGAGCUCUGGUAGGUGCUGGAAGCUCCCGUGGGGGUCUGGACCCUCCUGGGAAAGAACCAGGGGCAGAGUUCACAAUCCUGGAGGUCAGCCUCUGAGGCCCAUGUCACCAGGCCAGUGGAUCCACUGAAUGGCCCCUGGCUCAAGCAUUGCCAGCAGUGGGGACAGGCGAAGGAGCACAGGCCCACUGGGCAGCAGGAAGCAGGGGUGGACCUCGCUGUGGGAGAAGUGGGUGCUGUACCAGCUGCGGGAAAAAGGUCACUCCCCGGAGUACCUGGGGCCUGGCUGAAGGUACUGGCGAAGUGUGGCUGCACUGGGGACAGGAAUGAGGUACUGGGUGAAUGCCAGAUGUUGAUGCCGGGCAGAGACUGCAGGUUUGGGGAAGGUCUGGCUGCAGGGAGCCUUGGCCAAAAGCUCAGAGACCAGGUCAGUGUUUCUGACGCCAAGGGCUUAUGACAGCUCCCAAAGAGACUCCUGCUGGUCCCUUCCAAAUGUGUUAUUUUUCUGAGCGGCCACUGGGAAACUGCUGAUUCAAAACUUACCUCUUGCCUUGUCAACUCCCCAAGGCCUACUCAUAUUCAACCUUCACAACAGCAGCAUUCAGAUGGGUACCCCUGAGAGCCACCCUCAUCCCCCACCCCCAGACAGUGCUGGUCAACUGAGGAGCUCACCAGGCAGUGACAUUCCCGCAUGCCUCAAGGCCAACCAGAGGAGCCGCCAUCAACCACACAGGUAGCUGUUCCAGGGCCUAGGGGCCUGGAGAGAGAAAG
Molecule: non-coding RNA, 1314 nt
Organism: Macaca mulatta (Rhesus monkey)
Lineage: Eukaryota; Metazoa; Chordata; Mammalia; Primates; Cercopithecidae
Source: RefSeq, a predicted model, not a curated record